Molecule: non-coding RNA, 73 nt
Organism: Potamilus streckersoni
Lineage: Eukaryota; Metazoa; Mollusca; Bivalvia; Unionida; Unionidae
Source: the annotation of a GenBank genome assembly
GAUCUGGUGGCCUAGUGGUUAAAGAUUCCGCCUCUGAUGCGGGAGGUAGAGGAUUCGAACCCCAUCCGAGUCA